CCUGGAGGCUGUUGGACAACUGGGUCUCUCAGAGCUGUAGCUUUGCUGCGGGCAAAGGCUUCUGUAGCCAUAUAACCGCUCUGCUGUUCCAGACAGCGCAUUAUGUGCAGCUGGGCCUUGAUGUGGUUCCACCUUCCCUGGCCUGUACCAGUCAACCACAGAUGUGGCAUCGACCUCGAACCCACGUGUGCUGUUGUGUCCUCUGUUCAAAUCAUACACUUCAGUAUUUGUCUAGAGUAUAUGAGCAUUUCCUGUAUUGUUGUUCGCCUCAGGGAAUCCAUCCAGAGGCUGUGAGUGACCUGGUGGUGAAGAAACCCAAGUCGGUGGGGAAGACUGGAGUCAAGUCCACACUCUACAGAGCGUAUGCUGAGGGAAUAUCCAGCUUGGAGUUGGUACCAUCUCAGCUGUGCUGACCUGGAAGAUGUCAGCAAUGACUUGUUCUUUAAGGCCAGUUGCUACUCUACAACAGUAGAUGAAAAACUCAUCAAUGGCUGGAAUCUUCCUUGAAGGGCUUGGUGUUGGAAUCGCCUCUUGUCCAGUCCUCUGUGCUUUGCUCCAAUAAAGAAUAUAUUGUGUUGAGGGGCAAAACAGACUCCCAAAACACUUGAAACACUU
This is a long non-coding RNA of Gadus morhua (Atlantic cod), 615 nucleotides long. RefSeq lists it as uncharacterized. The record is from RefSeq and is a predicted model, not a curated record. NCBI's taxonomy places the organism in Eukaryota, Metazoa, Chordata, Actinopteri, Gadiformes, Gadidae. The transcript is spliced from 2 exons.